UCCAGUCCCAACCAAUGAACUAAAGGGGUCGUUUGGUAUGAAGUUUUGGAAUUAGAAGAUGUAUGAGAACCGAAGAAAUGUGGAAGUGUUUCUUACUAUUUCAAAAUACAAAAUUUCCCACAAACACACUCGGAUACUCGGAUUUCCCCUUAACCAAACGAUUCCUAAAGAACUAAUCCUAGCUAGAUGAAUUAGUCUCGUGAGAUUCAAACAUUCACUAGAACUCAGAUUUCCACUUUACCAAACGACUCCUAAAAAGGUAAUCCUAGCUAGAUGAAUUAGCCUUGUGAGAUUCAAACAUUCACUGCUACCACUGCUCAAGAAUCAUCCGCCAAAACAAUAACAUACAACAAAGUCCAAACAUCUGUAACAAGAUUGCAGCAUUGAUGACUCUCAACACACAAAUUAGAACAAAACAUUCCAAUCAACAAACCCAAUACAGGAAAUGAAGAAAACCAAACCCAAACCCAAAGCUAAUCCAUUUCCACCUCUGGGAGAAAACCCACAUUACAAAUCAACAA
RNAcentral lists this long non-coding RNA (521 nucleotides) under Linum usitatissimum (flax). RNAcentral describes it as "long non-coding RNA (LUSI_LNC001802)". Lineage: Eukaryota; Viridiplantae; Streptophyta; Magnoliopsida; Malpighiales; Linaceae. The record is from RNAcentral.